RNAcentral lists this ribosomal RNA (515 nucleotides) under uncultured bacterium. Its description in RNAcentral is "partial 16S ribosomal RNA". It matches the Rfam family "Bacterial small subunit ribosomal RNA", at positions 28 to 523 of the family's 1533-position model. The record is from RNAcentral.
GAUGAACGCUGGCGGCGUGCCUAAUACAUGCAAGUCGAGCGAAUGGAUUAAGAGCUUGCUCUUAUGAAGUUAGCGGCGGACGGGUGAGUAACACGUGGGUAACCUGCCCAUAAGACUGGGAUAACUCCGGGAAACCGGGGCUAAUACCGGAUAACAUUUUGAACCGCAUGGUUCGAAAUUGAAAGGCGGCUUCGGCUGUCACUUAUGGAUGGACCCGCGUCGCAUUAGCUAGUUGGUGAGGUAACGGCUCACCAAGGCAACGAUGCGUAGCCGACCUGAGAGGGUGAUGGGCCACACUGGGACUCAGACACGGCCCAGACUCCUACGGGAGGCAGCAGUAGGGAAUCUUCCGCAAUGGACGAAAGUCUGACGGAGCAACGCCGCGUGAGUGAUGAAGGCUUUCGGGUCGUAAAACUCUGAUGUUAGGGAAGGACAAGUGCUAGUUGAAUAAGCUGGCACCUUGACGGUACCUAACCAGAAAGCCACGGCUAACUACGUGCCAGCCGCCGCAGUAA